GAUGAACGCUGGCGGCGUGCCUAAUACAUGCAAGUCGAGCGAACGGACGAGAAGCUUGCUUCUCUGAUGUUAGCGGCGGACGGGUGAGUAACACGUGGAUAACCUACCUAUAAGACUGGGAUAACUUCGGGAAACCGGAGCUAAUACCGGAUAAUAUUUUGAACCGCAUGGUUCAAAAGUGAAAGACGGUCUUGCUGUCACUUAUAGAUGGAUCCGCGCUGCAUUAGCUAGUUGGUAGGGUAACGGCUUACCAAGGCAACGAUGCAUAGCCGACCUGAGAGGGUGAUCGGCCACACUGGAACUGAGACACGGUCCAGACUCCUACGGGAGGCAGCAGUAGGGAAUCUUACGCAAUGGGCGAAAGCCUGACGGAGCAACGCCGCGUGAGUGAUGAAGGUCUUCGGAUCGUAAAACUCUGUUAUUAGGGAAGAACAUAUGUGUAAGUAACUGUGCACAUCUUGACGGUACCUAAUCAGAAAGCCACGGCUAACUACGUG
This 497-nucleotide ribosomal RNA is filed under the name uncultured bacterium. RNAcentral describes it as "partial 16S ribosomal RNA". It matches the Rfam family "Bacterial small subunit ribosomal RNA", at positions 28 to 507 of the family's 1533-position model. The record is from RNAcentral.